AAACUCAAAUGAAUUGACGGGGGCCCGCACAAGCGGUGGAGCAUGUGGUUUAAUUCGAUGCAACGCGAAGAACCUUACCUGGUCUUGACAUCCACGGAAGUUUUCAGAGAUGAGAAUGUGCCUUCGGGAACCCUGAGACAGGUGCUGCAUGGCUGUCGUCAGCUCGUGUUGUGAAAUGUUGGGUUAAGUCCCGCAACGAGCGCAACCCUUAUCCUUUGUUGCCAGCGGUCCGGCCGGGAACUCAAAGGAGACUGCCAGUGAUAAACUGGAGGAAGGUGGGGAUGACGUCAAGUCAUCAUGGCCCUUACGACCAGGGCUACACACGUGCUACAAUGGCGCAUACAAAGAGAAGCGACCUCGCGAGAGCAAGCGGACCUCAUAAAGUGCGUCGUAGUCCGGAUUGGAGUCUGCAACUCGACUCCAUGAAGUCGGAAUCGCUAGUAAUCGUGGAUCAGAAUGCCACGGUGAAUACGUUCCCGGGCCUUGUACACACCGCCCGUCACACCAUGGGAGUGGGUUGCAAAAGAAGUAGG
Molecule: ribosomal RNA, 533 nt
Filed under: Shigella sonnei
Lineage: Bacteria; Pseudomonadati; Pseudomonadota; Gammaproteobacteria; Enterobacterales; Enterobacteriaceae
Description: bacterial SSU rRNA
Rfam family: Bacterial small subunit ribosomal RNA
Source: RNAcentral